Molecule: long non-coding RNA, 309 nt
Filed under: Mytilus galloprovincialis (Mediterranean mussel)
Lineage: Eukaryota; Metazoa; Mollusca; Bivalvia; Mytilida; Mytilidae
Source: RNAcentral
AAAAGUUUUAUAGGUUUUCAACUUAUUUGAACUAUUCGGAAAGAAAAAAACAACAACAUAUUUGUUCAGGUAAGAAAAAAAUCAAAACAAACUUUAUAAUUUCCUCCGUUAUAUACCUAUUUUCAUUACGCCUUGCUAUUUCUCCAUUACGAAAUGCAACAAUUAUAUAGUUUCGUUGAAUUUAAAACUGACAAUCUAAAACGACAACGAAGUUACGUGUUCACCAUACUCACACUUAACCGUCUACCAAUUCAAAAUCAUAUCAUCGGCAUACUUUAAUGAAAUAAUAUCAUAUCUUGGAUAUUUUAA